UCCUACGGAGGCAGCAGUGGGGAAUAUUGGACAAUGGGGGCAACCCUGAUCCAGCCAUGCCGCGUGUGUGAAGAAGGCCCUCGGGUUGUAAAGCACUUUCAGCGAGGAAGAACGCCUAGCGGUUAAUACCCGCUAGGAAAGACAUCACUCGCAGAAGAAGCACCGGCUAACUCCGUGCCAGCAGCCGCGGUAAUACGGAGGGUGCAAGCGUUAAUCGGAAUUACUGGGCGUAAAGCGCGCGUAGGUGGCUUGAUAAGCCGGUUGUGAAAGCCCCGGGCUCAACCUGGGAACGGCAUCCGGAACUGUCAAGCUAGAGUGCAGGAGAGGAAGGUAGAAUUCUCGGUGUAGCGGUGAAAUGCGUAGAGAUCGGGAGGAAUACCAGUGGCGAAGGCGGCCUUCUGGACUGACACUGACACUGAGGUGCGAAAGCGUGGGUAGCAAACAGGAUUAGAUACCCUGGUAGUCCACGCCGUAAACGAUGUCGACCAGCCGUUGGGUGCCUAGCGCACUUUGUGGCGAAGUUAACGCGAUAAGUCGACCGCCUGGGGAGUACGGCCGCAAGGUUAAAACUCAAAUGAAUUGACGG
RNAcentral lists this ribosomal RNA (586 nucleotides) under uncultured bacterium. RNAcentral's name for it is "bacterial SSU rRNA". It matches the Rfam family "Bacterial small subunit ribosomal RNA", at positions 337 to 916 of the family's 1533-position model. The record is from RNAcentral.